GACUUCGUGAAGCUGGAUUCGCUAGUAAUCGCGCAUCAGCCAUGGCGCGGUGAAUACGGUUCCCGGGCCUUGUACACACCGCCCGUCAAGCCAUGAAAGCCGGGGGUACCUGAAGUACGUAACCGCAAGGAUCGUCCUAGGGUAAAACUGGUAAUUGGGGCUAAGUCGUAACAAGGUACC
Molecule: ribosomal RNA, 180 nt
Filed under: uncultured bacterium
Lineage: Bacteria
Description: partial 16S ribosomal RNA
Rfam family: Bacterial small subunit ribosomal RNA
Source: RNAcentral